RNAcentral lists this ribosomal RNA (1536 nucleotides) under Acinetobacter baumannii. RNAcentral describes it as "bacterial SSU rRNA". It matches the Rfam family "Bacterial small subunit ribosomal RNA". Lineage: Bacteria; Pseudomonadati; Pseudomonadota; Gammaproteobacteria; Moraxellales; Moraxellaceae. The record is from RNAcentral.
UAACUGAAGAGUUUGAUCAUGGCUCAGAUUGAACGCUGGCGGCAGGCUUAACACAUGCAAGUCGAGCGGGGGAAGGUAGCUUGCUACUGGACCUAGCGGCGGACGGGUGAGUAAUGCUUAGGAAUCUGCCUAUUAGUGGGGGACAACAUCUCGAAAGGGAUGCUAAUACCGCAUACGUCCUACGGGAGAAAGCAGGGGAUCUUCGGACCUUGCGCUAAUAGAUGAGCCUAAGUCGGAUUAGCUAGUUGGUGGGGUAAAGGCCUACCAAGGCGACGAUCUGUAGCGGGUCUGAGAGGAUGAUCCGCCACACUGGGACUGAGACACCGCCCCGACACCCACGGGUGGCUGCCGUGGGGAAUAUUGGGCAAUGGGGGAACCCUGAUCCAGCCAUGCCGCGUGUGUGAAGAAGGCCUUAUGGUUGUAAAGCACUUUAAGCGAGGAGGAGGCUACUUUAGUUAAUACCUAGAGAUAGUGGACGUUACUCGCAGAAUAAGCACCGGCUAACUCUGUGCCAGCAGCCGCGGUAAUACAGAGGGUGCGAGCGUUAAUCGGAUUUACUGGGCGUAAAGCGUGCGUAGGCGGCUUAUUAAGUCGGAUGUGAAAUCCCCGAGCUUAACUUGGGAAUUGCAUUCGAUACUGGUGAGCUAGAGUAUGGGAGAGGAUGGUAGAAUUCCAGGUGUAGCGGUGAAAUGCGUAGAGAUCUGGAGGAAUACCGAUGGCGAAGGCAGCCAUCUGGCCUAAUACUGACGCUGAGGUACGAAAGCAUGGGGAGCAAACAGGAUUAGAUACCCUGGUAGUCCAUGCCGUAAACGAUGUCUACUAGCCGUUGGGGCCUUUGAGGCUUUAGUGGCGCAGCUAACGCGAUAAGUAGACCGCCUGGGGAGUACGGUCGCAAGACUAAAACUCAAAUGAAUUGACGGGGGCCCGCACAAGCGGUGGAGCAUGUGGUUUAAUUCGAUGCAACGCGAAGAACCUUACCUGGCCUUGACAUACUAGAAACUUUCCAGAGAUGGAUUGGUGCCUUCGGGAAUCUAGAUACAGGUGCUGCAUGGCUGUCGUCAGCUCGUGUCGUGAGAUGUUGGGUUAAGUCCCGCAACGAGCGCAACCCUUUUCCUUACUUGCCAGCAUUUCGGAUGGGAACUUUAAGGAUACUGCCAGUGACAAACUGGAGGAAGGCGGGGACGACGUCAAGUCAUCAUGGCCCUUACGGCCAGGGCUACACACGUGCUACAAUGGUCGGUACAAAGGGUUGCUACACAGCGAUGUGAUGCUAAUCUCAAAAAGCCGAUCGUAGUCCGGAUUGGAGUCUGCAACUCGACUCCAUGAAGUCGGAAUCGCUAGUAAUCGCGGAUCAGAAUGCCGCGGUGAAUACGUUCCCGGGCCUUGUACACACCGCCCGUCACACCAUGGGAGUUUGUUGCACCAGAAGUAGCUAGCCUAACUGCAAAGAGGGCGGUUACCACGGUGUGGCCGAUGACUGGGGUGAAGUCGUAACAAGGUAGCCGUAGGGGAACCUGCGGCUGGAUCACCUCCUUA